This 497-nucleotide ribosomal RNA is filed under the name uncultured bacterium. RNAcentral's name for it is "partial 16S ribosomal RNA". It matches the Rfam family "Bacterial small subunit ribosomal RNA", at positions 28 to 507 of the family's 1533-position model. The record is from RNAcentral.
GAUGAACGCUGGCGGCGUGCCUAAUACAUGCAAGUCGAGCGAACAGACGAGGAGCUUGCUCCUCUGACGUUAGCGGCGGACGGGUGAGUAACACGUGGAUAACCUACCUAUAAGACUGGGAUAACUUCGGGAAACCGGAGCUAAUACCGGAUCAUAUAUUGAACCGCAUGGUUCAAUAGUGAAAGACGGUUUUGCUGUCACUUAUAGAUGGAUCCGCGCCGCAUUAGCUAGUUGGUAAGGUAACGGCUUACCAAGGCAACGAUGCGUAGCCGACCUGAGAGGGUGAUCGGCCACAAUGGAACGGAGACAAGGUACAGACUCCUAAGGGAGGCAGCAGUAGGGAAUAUUCAGAAAUGGGCGAAAGCCUGACGGAGCAAGGCCGCGUGAGUGAUGAAGGUCUUCGGAUAGUAAAAAUCUGUUAUGAGGGAAGAACAAAUGUGGAAGUAAAUAUGCACGUCUUGACGGUACCUAAUCAGAAAGACACGGAUAACUACGUG